UCCUUCAAUACACAGCUCAAAAUUUAAAAAAAUUGUUUUGCUCGAAUCUAUUAAGUGAAAGAUAGUCUAAUUUACGCUCAAACAUGGACGAGCUUUAUCCGGUAAUGCGCGAGUUUAUGGUCGUUUGUAUAACAGCAUUUAUUGACGGCCUGAACAUUGCCAUAAACUUUUGGAGUGGCAUGGACGCGUACACCCAACAGCCGAAAGACUGCAAUUGCAGCUGCACUGAAACCCCAAGCGACAUGCAGCAGCAGGAACCAGCUGUUGAUGAGCUAUAAACGGAGGACAGGCCACGCCACAAAGUUUGGCGCAGAAGCAUCAAAACCGAGCCAACACUCGCUUUGAUCCUGAACCACGGUGGAUUGGAAUAAGUGGACACCAUUUUUCAUACAAAACUUUAGAUUAACCUUUCGACUAAACCACAAGAAAAAACGAAUUAAAUACAAAUUA
Drosophila subobscura is the source of this 450-nucleotide long non-coding RNA. RefSeq lists it as uncharacterized. Lineage: Eukaryota; Metazoa; Arthropoda; Insecta; Diptera; Drosophilidae. The transcript has 3 exons. The record is from RefSeq and is a predicted model, not a curated record.